AUGCUGACCCUCCUCUCCGACCUCGCGGAGAUCGCCCAGGACGUGGACGCGCCCGGGCGGGACGCCGUGCUCCUCCGCGUCGACCGCCUCCGACACGCUCCGACGGCGCUGGAGGUCCUGCUCCACCUCGUCGAGCACCACGACUGGCGGGUGCUCAACCUCCGCCACGUCAGGGAGGCGGCGGCGCUGGGCGGAGCGCUGACCGACGCCAAGCGCUUGCUCCGAAGGCUUCGCCGCGCCCUCGUCAAGCUCUCCGAAGCACGCGGGACUCUGCUGGAAUCCAUCGCGAGGAUCGAGGACAGCUACAGGGGCUUCCUCCUGCCUGACCUCGCCGGGUUCGAGGCCCUCUGCGCUGGAGUACGCCGCUUUGUCGUCGCCGCUGAGUCGCACCAGGUGGGCAGCGGGAGCCUGGUGGCUGGCAUCGACUCUCAACUCGAGGCCGUGCGCCGGCGGCGGCCUAAGAUGAACUUCGCCAUCCCCUCCUCCUUCAGGCGCUACGACCUGUACAUCGACUUGAACCAGUCCAUCCUGUUCCUCCGCCGAGCUCACGAGAAGGUCGACAGGAGGUUGUCCCGCCUUCACCCUGUCGUCGCCGCUCUGCAGGAACAGGCAGCACGCCUGGAGGAAACGACGCACGGGGUCAGUCGUCCAGCGCCCCAGACGCUCAACAUCGCCAGGUCCUUGUGGACAUCUACCUCCGCACUCGCGCACUCAGCUGGCAACUCCACAUACAACGUUUUGAUCCCCUGCAUCGCCAAUCAUCUGGAGCUGCUCCGAGCUUCGCUGGCCGCACCCCUGGCUCUUCCAUACGAGUGGUUCACUGGAGUUAUCAACAUCUGUUCGCUCCGUGACAUCGCCGACCUACGCGACAUCUCCCGUCCACUACUCGACGAUGAGCCCUCCCACCGCAUCCAUGUCGUCGUCGGUGGAGUGAGGGCGCUCGUGGAGGCUCAGGGAAUGCACGUACAGCUGAUGACCGGUGUGGAUGAGCGCCGGUGGGUGGUGCAGGGACUGCCCCAACUUGCGCAGGCGGUGAUGCUCUCCAACGGACUCUCCGCGCUCAAGGUUGCCUUGGACAGAGCGCACCGGGGUAAUGUCUACAGUGCCGAUGGUGAAGUGAUUGCCCCUGAAUACUUUGAUGAUGUGCGUGAGCGUGCAUCAGAGGUUCAAGACAUCGUCGACAGCGACCCUACUGUCAUCUCCUCUGGGGCACCUGCUCUCCUCACCCGCGUGGCAGAGCUCUUAGACAAUGAGCGGCAGGACAAGGUUUUCGAUGUUAUUCUGGAGCUGAACGCCGUUCAGCUUGAGGGCAUAAUUUUCAUCUAG
Molecule: ribosomal RNA, 1326 nt
Filed under: Triticum aestivum (bread wheat)
Lineage: Eukaryota; Viridiplantae; Streptophyta; Magnoliopsida; Poales; Poaceae
Description: partial small subunit ribosomal RNA
Source: RNAcentral